RNAcentral lists this unclassified non-coding RNA (246 nucleotides) under plant metagenome. RNAcentral describes it as "partial contains small subunit ribosomal RNA, internal transcribed spacer 1, and 5.8S ribosomal RNA". The stretch from base 1 to 54 matches the Rfam family "Eukaryotic small subunit ribosomal RNA", at positions 1778 to 1831 of the family's 1831-position model. The record is from RNAcentral.
GGAAGUAAAAGCCGUAACAAGGUUUCCGUAGGUGAACCUGCGGAAGGAUCAUUACCGAGUAAUCCUGUACUCCAGGAACUCCCACCCUUGGCAAUUCGACGUUGCUUCGGCGAGUCGUUGGAAACAGCCGUUGGCGGAAGAACAAUUCUGUCGGCGCGCGCUCGCCGGAGUUUCAUACUCUGAAUUUGUAUCGUCAGAAAAACAAGCAAUUAUAAAAAACUUUCAACAACGGAUCUCUUGGUUUUG